This 454-nucleotide ribosomal RNA is filed under the name uncultured Porphyromonadaceae bacterium. RNAcentral describes it as "bacterial SSU rRNA". It matches the Rfam family "Bacterial small subunit ribosomal RNA", at positions 341 to 792 of the family's 1533-position model. The record is from RNAcentral. Lineage: Bacteria; Pseudomonadati; Bacteroidota; Bacteroidia; Bacteroidales; Porphyromonadaceae.
ACGGAAGGCAGCAGUGAGGAAUAUUGGUCAAUGGGCGAGAGCCUGAACCAGCCAUGUCGCGUGCAGGAAUACGGCCCUAUGGGUUUUAAACUGCUUUUGCCUGGGGAUAAAGUGGCGGACUUGUCCGUUAUUGCAGGUACCAGGCGAAUAAGGAUCGGCUAACUCCGUGCCAGCAGCCGCGGUAAUACGGAGGAUCCGAGCGUUAUCCGGAUUUAUUGGGUUUAAAGGGUGCGUAGGCGGAGGAUCAAGUCAGUGGUGAAAUGGUGCGGCUCAACCGUAGCAUUGCCGUUGAAACUGGUUUUCUAGAGUGCGAAUGAGGUGGGCGGAAUGUGUCAUGUAGCGGUGAAAUGCAUAGAUAUGACACAGAACACCGAUUGCGAAGGCAGCUCACUGGGACGCAACUGACGCUGAGGCACGAAAGUGCGGGGAUCGAACAGGAUUAGAUACCCUGGUA